This 574-nucleotide ribosomal RNA is filed under the name uncultured earthworm cast bacterium. RNAcentral's name for it is "bacterial SSU rRNA". It matches the Rfam family "Bacterial small subunit ribosomal RNA", at positions 41 to 609 of the family's 1533-position model. The record is from RNAcentral.
GGCAGGCCUAACACAUGCAAGUCGAGCGGUAGAGAGAAGCUUGCUUCUCUUGAGAGCGGCGGACGGGUGAGUAAUGCCUAGGAAUCUGCCUGGUAGUGGGGGAUAACGUUCGGAAACGGACGCUAAUACCGCAUACGUCCUACGGGAGAAAGCAGGGGACCUUCGGGCCUUGCGCUAUCAGAUGAGCCUAGGUCGGAUUAGCUAGUUGGUGGGGUAAUGGCUCACCAAGGCGACGAUCCGUAACUGGUCUGAGAGGAUGAUCAGUCACACUGGAACUGAGACACGGUCCAGACUCCUACGGGAGGCAGCAGUGGGGAAUAUUGGACAAUGGGCGAAAGCCUGAUCCAGCCAUGCCGCGUGUGUGAAGAAGGUCUUCGGAUUGUAAAGCACUUUAAGUUGGGAGGAAGGGUUGUAGAUUAAUACUCUGCAAUUUUGACGUUACCGACAGAAUAAGCACCCGGCUAACUCUGUGCCAGCAGCCGCGGUAAUACAGAGGGUGCAAGCGUUAAUCGGAAUUACUGGGCGUAAAGCGCGCGUAGAUGGUUAGUUAAGUUGGAUGUGAAAUCCCCGGGCU